AAAACGACUCUCGGCAACGGAUAUCUCGGCUCUCGCAUCGAUGAAGAACGUAGCGAAAUGCGAUACUUGGUGUGAAUUGCAGAAUCCCGUGAACCAUCGAGUCUUUGAACGCAAGUUGCGCCCCAAGCCUUCUGGCCGAGGGCACGUCUGCCUGGG
RNAcentral lists this ribosomal RNA (156 nucleotides) under Arabidopsis thaliana (thale cress). RNAcentral describes it as "5.8S ribosomal RNA". It matches the Rfam family "5.8S ribosomal RNA". Rfam says of the family: 5.8S ribosomal RNA (5.8S rRNA) is a component of the large subunit of the eukaryotic ribosome. The record is from RNAcentral. Lineage: Eukaryota; Viridiplantae; Streptophyta; Magnoliopsida; Brassicales; Brassicaceae. RNAcentral also lists the same sequence under 56 other names.